This 388-nucleotide ribosomal RNA is filed under the name uncultured bacterium. RNAcentral describes it as "bacterial SSU rRNA". It matches the Rfam family "Bacterial small subunit ribosomal RNA", at positions 28 to 380 of the family's 1533-position model. The record is from RNAcentral.
GACGAACGCUGGCGGCGUGCCUAAUACAUGCAAGUCGAACGCACUCUCGUUUAGAUUGAAGGAGCUUGCUCCUGAUUGAUAAACAUUUGAGUGAGUGGCGGACGGGUGAGUAACACGUGGGUAACCUGCCCUAAAGUGGGGGAGUAACAUUUGGAAACAGAUGCUAAUACCGCAUAAAACCUAAACACCGCAUGGUGUAGGGUUGAAAGAUGGUUUCGGCUAUCACUUUAGGAUGGACCCGCGGUGCAUAGUUAGUUGGUGAGGUAAAGGACUCACCAAGACCGUGAUGCAUAGCCGACCUGAGAGGGUAAUCGGCCACACUGGGACUGAGACACGGCCCAGACUCCUACGGGAGGCAGCAGUAGGGAAUCUUCCACAAUGGACGAAA